GGGCCAGUGAGCUCAGUUAGUUGAGCGUAGCGCUAACAACGCUAAGGUCACGGGUUCGAUUCCCGUUCGGUCCC
This is a non-coding RNA of Apaloderma vittatum (bar-tailed trogon), 74 nucleotides long. The record is from Rfam. NCBI's taxonomy places the organism in Eukaryota, Metazoa, Chordata, Aves, Trogoniformes, Trogonidae.